Molecule: long non-coding RNA, 839 nt
Organism: Papaver somniferum (opium poppy)
Lineage: Eukaryota; Viridiplantae; Streptophyta; Magnoliopsida; Ranunculales; Papaveraceae
Exons: 2
Source: RefSeq, a predicted model, not a curated record
AUAGCCAACUUUGGUCGAUGUAAAGGGUGAUAGAUAAGAAGUGAAACUAAUAAGAAGGCUCCCUCUUCUUCUUUCAUAUCGUUCUUUCUUCUUCCAACUUUUAUCAGUGUUUAUACAUACUCAUAUGUGCUACUUUGUACCUUGGCCCAUAAACAAUAGCACUAGUUUUAGCAUAAGAUAGUAAAGCAGACCGUGAAGUUCAAUACGUUAUCAGCACGAAUUGCUCUGCGGUAACCACAGGGACUGACGACACCGAAAAAAAUAAUUUUCUUCAAUCUUGGCAUAUUUAAUUUAACUAUUGUUAAGUAGUUAUGUACAUGCAAUUAUUAUUAUGUCUAAUUCGUUUUCUGUUUUGAUUAGAACUUGUUAAAGGAAAGUUAGAUAUCUUACCAUAUCAUGUUUGUGCUAUUGAUAGCAUAAAUAAUUAUUAUGGUAAAAGAAGAGGUAUCCAAAACAGCCAACCAGCAGAAGGUUUUUCCGCGUCCUUUUGGAUAUCGUAGAGAGUAAAAUUACCUUUGUUGAUACACCAAUGAUUUUGUGGUAUUAACUGUUUUAAUAUCGGCAAAGCGAGGAAUUUUUGCAUCUUGAGAGGUAGCAAAAUUUUAUAUUCCUUUGUGAUAAUAAUCUCCGGAAUUCAAAGUCAUUCCACUGAAGGUCGGAGUGCAAUGGAAAUGGACACCGGGUUAACACGGUUAGCCUUUAUCUAUCAACGGUUGUUGAAAUGACCUACAAUUGAUAUUGAGAUAAUUUCUUUUAAUAUAUAAAGAAUGUGUUCAUAUUUCUACUUUGAUAAAUUAAUAUCUCGUCGAGCCUAAUGGACAAAAUUCGAGAUUUGUCGA